This 253-nucleotide ribosomal RNA is filed under the name uncultured bacterium. RNAcentral describes it as "partial 16S ribosomal RNA". It matches the Rfam family "Bacterial small subunit ribosomal RNA", at positions 524 to 776 of the family's 1533-position model. The record is from RNAcentral.
UACGUAGGGGGCGAGCGUUGUUCGGAAUCACUGGGCGUAAAGCGCGUGUAGGCGGCCCACUAAGUCUGAUGUGAAAGCCCGGGGCUCACCCCCGGAAGUGCAUUGGAAACUGGUGGACUCGAGUCCCGGAGAGGAGAGUGGAAUUCCUGGUGUAGCGGUGAAAUGCGUAGAUAUCGGGAGGAACACCAGUGGCGAAGGCGGCGAUCUGGGAAGAUACUGACGCUGAGGUGCGAAAGCGUGGGGAGCAAACAGG